This 1241-nucleotide ribosomal RNA is filed under the name metagenome. RNAcentral describes it as "bacterial SSU rRNA". It matches the Rfam family "Bacterial small subunit ribosomal RNA", at positions 55 to 1317 of the family's 1533-position model. The record is from RNAcentral.
AUGCAAGUCGAACGAGCGAGAGAUAGCUUGCUUUCUCGAGCGAGUGGCGAACGGGUGAGUAACGCGUGAGGAACCUGCCUCAAAGAGGGGGACAACAGUUGGAAACGACUGCUAAUACCGCAUAAGCCCACGACCCGGCAUCGGGUAGAGGGAAAAGGAGCAAUCCGCUUUGAGAUGGCCUCGCGUCCGAUUAGCUAGUUGGUGAGGUAAUGGCCCACCAAGGCGACGAUCGGUAGCCGGACUGAGAGGUUGAACGGCCACAUUGGGACUGAGACACGGCCCAGACUCCUACGGGAGGCAGCAGUGGGGAAUAUUGCACAAUGGGGGAAACCCUGAUGCAGCGACGCCGCGUGGAGGAAGAAGGUCUUCGGAUUGUAAACUCCUGUUGUUGAGGAAGAUAAUGACGGUACUCAACAAGGAAGUGACGGCUAACUACGUGCCAGCAGCCGCGGUAAAACGUAGGUCACAAGCGUUGUCCGGAAUUACUGGGUGUAAAGGGAGCGCAGGCGGGAAGACAAGUUGGAAGUGAAAUCCAUGGGCUCAACCCAUGAACUGCUUUCAAAACUGUUUUUCUUGAGUAGUGCAGAGGUAGGCGGAAUUCCCGGUGUAGCGGUGGAAUGCGUAGAUAUCGGGAGGAACACCAGUGGCGAAGGCGGCCUACUGGGCACCAACUGACGCUGAGGCUCGAAAGUGUGGGUAGCAAACAGGAUUAGAUACCCUGGUAGUCCACACUGUAAACGAUGAUUACUAGGUGUUGGAGGAUUGACCCCUUCAGUGCCGCAGUUAACACAAUAAGUAAUCCACCUGGGGAGUACGACAGCAAGGUUGAAACUCAAAGGAAUUGACGGGGGCCCGCACAAGCAGUGGAGUAUGUGGUUUAAUUCGACGCAACGCGAAGAACCUUACCAAGUCUUGACAUCCUGCGACGCACAUAGAAAUAUGUGUUUCCUUCGGGACGCAGAGACAGGUGGUGCAUGGUUGUCGUCAGCUCGUGUCGUGAGAUGUUGGGUUAAGUCCCGCAACGAGCGCAACCCUUAUGGACAGUUACUACGCAAGAGGACUCUGGCCAGACUGCCGUUGACAAAACGGAGGAAGGUGGGGAUGACGUCAAAUCAUCAUGCCCUUUAUGACUUGGGCUACACACGUACUACAAUGGCGUUAAACAAAGAGAAGCAAGACCGCGAGGUGGAGCAAAACUCAGAAACAACGUCCCAGUUCGGACUGCAGGCUGCAACUCGCCU